Molecule: long non-coding RNA, 572 nt
Filed under: Trifolium pratense (red clover)
Lineage: Eukaryota; Viridiplantae; Streptophyta; Magnoliopsida; Fabales; Fabaceae
Description: long non-coding RNA (TPRA_LNC005171)
Source: RNAcentral
ACAGUGUGAUAUUCACAAUUGCUUUUGCAUUUAGCUGCUGUUUGGAUAAAUGAUUAAUUUACCAUACAUUAAUUAACAUAUUGUAGUUAUUUACAUAUGAAUUAAGUUAUUUAGAUAUUGUAGGUGUUCAAUGAUCCCACAACAUUAACAGAGGAGCUGUAUGAUUUGCGAGACCGCUGGGCAAGUUGUUUUCUUGACCUAUAUAAUCCCGAGGUAGAUUAUGAUGAUGCCGACGAGAAAGAUUAGGAGCUAGCUAGGUUUGUGUGAAGUUACUAUGGACUAGUUAUGAUGAUGUUUUAAUUUGUAUUUUGGAUGGAUUAGUAUUAAUUAUUAUGAUGUUUUGUAUAUUUUUUUUUUAUAACAUGAUGUUUUGUAUUUUGGAUUACAAUGUGGUUGUACUUUAAUGACAUUAUUACUAUAUACUAUAUGUUGAAUGUUGAAUUUGGCUAUGGAGGUUGAAUGUUAAAUUUUAGUAUUAUGUUCUUGAUGUAAGCUAUGUUAUAUUGUUGACAUUGUGGGUUAGAUUUUUUUAAUAAAAAAAAGAGGAUUUAAAAUAUAUAAAAAAACGCAGG